Molecule: non-coding RNA, 132 nt
Organism: Acanthochromis polyacanthus (spiny chromis)
Lineage: Eukaryota; Metazoa; Chordata; Actinopteri; Pomacentridae
Source: Ensembl
AUGGAGGUCAAGAAAGUGAGGCAAAUGAAGACCAUGUUGCCUUCACUGAUACCCACCUCCAAAAUAAAGUAGCAGUCAGAACAUCCCUGGUCUACAGAGAAACGCCAAGGAUUGCUGCGUCUGCUUACAAAA